UGCAGUCGAACGCGAAAGUUCCCUUCGGGGAGCAAGUAGAGUGGCGCACGGGUGAGUAACACGUAGGUAAUCUACCUUUGGAUGGGGAAUAACAACCGGAAACGGUUGCUAAUACCGCAUAAUGCAGCGGCACCUAAUGGUGACAGUUGUUAAAGCGGGGGAUCGAAAGACCUCGCGUCUGAAGAGGAGCCUGCGGCGGAUUAGCUAGUUGGUAAGGUAAUGGCUUACCAAGGCGAUGAUCCGUAGCCGGCCUGAGAGGGCGGUCGGCCACACUGACACUGACAUACGGGUCAGACUCCUACGGGAGGCAGCAGUCGGGAAUUUUGGGCAAUGGGCGAAAGCCUGACCCAGCAACGCCGCGUGAAGGAUGAAAUCCCUCGGGAUGUAAACUUCGCAAGAACGGGAAGAAUAAGUGAGGGUUAAUAUCUCUCGCGAUGACGGUACCGUUUGUAAGCUCCGGCUAACUCCGUGCCAGCAGCCGCGGUAAUACGGGGGGAGCAAGCGUUGUUCGGAUUUACUGGGCGUAAAGGGCGCGUAGGCGGCCACCGCAAGUCGAUUGUGAAAUCUCCGGGCUUAACCCGGAAAGGUCAACCGAUACUGCGGGGCUAGAGUGCAGAAGGGGCAACUGGAAUUCUUGGUGUAGCGGUGAAAUGCGUAGAUAUCAAGAGGAACACCUGCGGCGAAGGCGGGUUGCUGGGCUGACACUGACGCUGAAGUGCGAAAGCUAGGGGAGCGAACGGGAUUAGAU
This 748-nucleotide ribosomal RNA is filed under the name uncultured bacterium. Its description in RNAcentral is "bacterial SSU rRNA". It matches the Rfam family "Bacterial small subunit ribosomal RNA", at positions 56 to 783 of the family's 1533-position model. The record is from RNAcentral.